Alnus glutinosa is the source of this 612-nucleotide long non-coding RNA. RefSeq lists it as uncharacterized. The record is from RefSeq and is a predicted model, not a curated record. The transcript has 4 exons. NCBI's taxonomy places the organism in Eukaryota, Viridiplantae, Streptophyta, Magnoliopsida, Fagales, Betulaceae.
GCCUUGUUUUAGAGAAAAGGCCAAACGACCUUUUCUUUUACCCUGUGAGGCAGUAGCCUCCGUCUCUGUUGGUUCCAAGAGGAAUUUUUCUCAUUUCCUCUUAUCUACGAAGAUCCGACCGUCUAAACUCAAAUCUGACUUCGGUAACGUGAUCUACGAAGUUCGAUCUACGUUUCUACCGAUCGUUUUGAGGUUUUGUGUUAUUUGGGGCUUGCAAAGAUUCUCCAAACACUGGGUAUUAUUUGAAUAAAUUUUUGGUAAUGCAUUGCAUGGUGGUGUCUAGGAGACCUAAUACUUAAUAUCCGCGCAGCCAAGACUUUAAUGCUUUGGUUGCAGGUUCUGCGGAUAUAGAUAUUGACUCGUCUACCUAGCGUAUGGGAUACUAUGAUUGGAGCACAUCGCAACAGUCAUAAGUUAUGGACUCUUGGGUAGUCCGUAUUUUGAGUAUUUUAUUUAUGGCUCGUGUCCUACGGGGUUUACGUAUUUGUUGAGCAUGUAUUUUAAUAUGUAAUUAAUAUAAUAUGUUUUAUAAGCUUUAAAUAGAUAGAUUUGUAAAUGACUCUUGUUGUUGUAAUUAACUGUCAUGUAUUAGAUGUAUUUCCGCUUUUGAUA